AUUGGGAGAGCUGAUACAACAACUUUAAAUGAUAAAGAGUAUUAGAUUUAUCACAUGGGAAAUCAUGGUUCUUUGAAGCUUGAUCAUGUUCACAGCAUGAAACUAGAGGGAAUAAUAACAUCUUGUUCUUCAAGUAAAAUGUACCUCGUAUUGUGGCAAAUGGUCUCGCUGGAGUAGUAUCUGUUAAUGACAUAAAGUUCCAUGACAUGCAGCUUGGAGUAUAUGAAGCAACUAUUAUCUGCAGCCAAGCACUGUCGCUUUAGAGGUAUAUGCAUUGCGACAUCAAAGCAUCAAAUAUUUUGCAAUGAUUGUGGAAUAAGUUGGGAGAUUUUGGAUUGGCAAGUGUCGUAAAUAUGACUAACAAGCAACCACCGACAACUUAGUGGCAUAACCUUGUGGUAGUGUCCUCCUGAACUUCUUAUGGGGCCAGCAAAGUAAGAAGUAUCCCUGCAUAUAUAGAUGCAGCAUUGGCUAGUGUAUAUGCCGAACCUUUCCCAGGGCAGCCUAUCCUUAAAGGAACAAUUGAGAACUUCAGAACCCCUUAGUGCUUGUGAUCUAUCAAAGUUGCCAAAGUAUCUUCCCACCAAAGAAAUGGAUGCUAAAAGUCGUUAGGGUGAACAAAGAACUUCAGAAGCCCUUAGUGCUUGUGAUCUAUCAAAGUUGCCAAAGUAUCUUCCCACCAAAGAAAUGGAUGCUAAAAGUCGUUAGGGUGAACAAAGGAAAGAGCCUGGUGCUUGAGCAACAAAGACAGCAUCAUAAAAACCAUGGAUAUUUAUUUGCAAAAGUCAAAUAUUUCUGCACAACUAGCACCAAAAGAGAUCUCUCUCUGUUCAUGUUAUAGAGGGAUGAAGCAAUAAGCAAGCUACUUUUGACUGCAUGAUUGUCCUUGAUUCUGCUGGGUGGGAAAGACAAUGAUGCUAGUCAACCUUCUCGUAAAAAUGGUGUUUACCGGCAUAUCCUUAUCCUGUGCGCAAAAGAAAGUCUUCUCUGUAGUGACUCCAAAAUCCGGCAUUUGAUGCUGUUUUGGAGAAUUGCAAGUUGAAUGCAAACCAAGGAAAUUAUUUUUCUCUUCUACAGGAGCAAGUGCUUUACAUUUGCAAAAUGCAAAACGAUGGAAUUCUGUACUAAAUCUUCAGCUUCAAGUGGCUCAAAAAGGUAAUUUGGUGUACUGGAUAGAACUCCCACAAAGAGUGCUGUUGACUUAUCGAAACCAGGGAAUGAACUUGCCAUGGAAAUAUAAAAGUCUGCGACAGGAGAAGACGAAGAUGAUCCAGGAAAGAUGCACAUUUACAACAGCGAAAUCAACAAUCUGGUGGUGCAGGGUAUAUCAAAUCCCUGCAAUCAGAAGAGAUGCCAAAACAGCCUUCUGGACAUCCAAGCUUCUCUAGUUUAUCUUUGUUGCAGUGGAAAGGGCUCUUAUUCUUCUUUAAGUUUUGUACUGCCAUGCCAAACACAUCUUCGUGUUCCCCAAGUUGUGUUACAAUAUUACUGGCAUUUUUUUGUUGCUACAGAUGGCUUGAUUCCUUUAUGAAAUUCAAUCUUGUAUUUA
Molecule: long non-coding RNA, 1549 nt
Organism: Rosa rugosa (rugosa rose)
Lineage: Eukaryota; Viridiplantae; Streptophyta; Magnoliopsida; Rosales; Rosaceae
Exons: 7
Source: RefSeq, a predicted model, not a curated record